ACACAUGCAAGUCGAACGGUAACAGGAUUAGCUUGCUAAUCGCUGACGAGUGGCGGACGGGUGAGUAAUGCUUGGGAACUUGCCUUUGCGAGGGGGAUAACAGUUGGAAACGACUGCUAAUACCGCAUAAUGUCUUCGGGACCAAACGGGGCUUAGGCUCCGGCGCAGAGAGAGGCCCAAGUGAGAUUAGCUAGUUGGUAAGGUAAAGGCUUACCAAGGCGACGAUCUCUAGCUGUUCUGAGAGGAAGAUCAGCCACACUGGGACUGAGACACGGCCCAGACUCCUACGGGAGGCAGCAGUGGGGAAUAUUGCACAAUGGGGGAAACCCUGAUGCAGCCAUGCCGCGUGUGUGAAGAAGGCCUUCGGGUUGUAAAGCACUUUCAGUUGUGAGGAAAAGUUAGUAGUUAAUACCUGCUAGCCGUGACGUUAACAACAGAAGAAGCACCGGCUAACUCCGUGCCAGCAGCCGCGGUAAUACGGAGGGUGCGAGCGUUAAUCGGAAUUACUGGGCGUAAAGCGCACGCAGGCGGUUUGUUAAGCUAGAUGUGAAAGCCCCGGGCUCAACCUGGGAUGGUCAUUUAGAACUGGCAGACUA
Molecule: ribosomal RNA, 596 nt
Filed under: Alteromonas sp. Fun-103
Lineage: Bacteria; Pseudomonadati; Pseudomonadota; Gammaproteobacteria; Alteromonadales; Alteromonadaceae
Description: bacterial SSU rRNA
Rfam family: Bacterial small subunit ribosomal RNA
Source: RNAcentral